GAUGAACGCUGGCGGCGUGCCUAAUACAUGCAAGUCGAGCGAACAGACGAGGAGCUUGCUCCUCUGACGUUAGCGGCGGACGGGUGAGUAACACGUGGAUAACCUACCUAUAAGACUGGGAUAACUUCGGGAAACCGGUGCUAAUACCGGAUAAUAUAUUGAACCGCAUGGUUCAAUAGUGAAAGACGGUUUUGCUGUCACUUUUAGAUGGAUCCGCGCCGCAUUAGCUAGUUGGUAAGGUAACGGCUUACCAAGGCAACGAUGCGUAGCCGACCUGAGAGGGUGAUCGGCCACACUGGAACUGAGACACGGUCCAGACUCCUACGGGAGGCAGCAGUAGGGAAUCUUGCGCAAUGGGCGAAAGCCUGACGGAGCAACGCCGCGUGAGUGAUGAAGGUCUUCGGAUCGUAAAACUCUGUUAUUAGGGAAGAACAAAUGUGUAAGUAACUAUGGCCGUCUUGACGGUACCUAAUCAGAAAGCAACGGCUAACUACGUG
This 497-nucleotide ribosomal RNA is filed under the name uncultured bacterium. RNAcentral describes it as "partial 16S ribosomal RNA". It matches the Rfam family "Bacterial small subunit ribosomal RNA", at positions 28 to 507 of the family's 1533-position model. The record is from RNAcentral.